RNAcentral lists this long non-coding RNA (8018 nucleotides) under Lactuca sativa (garden lettuce). RNAcentral's name for it is "long non-coding RNA (LSAT_LNC000079)". Lineage: Eukaryota; Viridiplantae; Streptophyta; Magnoliopsida; Asterales; Asteraceae. The record is from RNAcentral.
UCCCAUCCUCACCAAGGCAUCAUGUCAAGCUACCUGUUCCAACACACAAGGAAAGACAACAAGAAAAGAACAAGUAUUAGCAUAAGCUAAGUGAGUCAAUAUAGUACAAUGUCAAGAGAACACCCAUAUCAUAGAUAGAAUCACACAAAACAUCCACAUACCGUCAAAGACUCACUAACAAGACACACAACAUCACACCUCAUAACAAACAUAGGUUUAGCUCAGUUUAUUUUAAUUCUUCUUUUAGAGCUUCUCUUAUUAGUUACUCUCCUCAACACCACUGUAACUAUUUUAUUUUAUUGAUUCACCGCUUAAAUAUUAAUGUAUAAUAUUUUUUUUCCUCUCUGCUUUACGUUAAUAACUACUCACCGCUCACCGUUGUAUUUAUUAAAGUAUUACCUCCUAUUUAGGGUCUAUUUAUUCACCGCAAGAACCCCCAAAGCAAGACCAUAUUCGCUACUAACGUGACUGACACGAACCAAUACACUAAGUGAGGCGCGACUCUCACCCGUAAUCAUUGCUCCCGGUGCGCUGCGUUCGCUACUCCGACUAUGCACAUACAUGUACAUUCGUUGUCGUUAAGGACUGGUACGAGCGGUGCCAAUUUCAACAGAUACACCUCCCAAAUCCCACGUGAUAUUUGCACUGGUCCCACCGCUUGACCAACAUCACUCCAGUCCCGGUAUACCAAGGUGUACCAAGACCAUGUCCCGAGUGGUUGUCUAGAAAAAACAUUCGGCAUCACAGUUGGCUUAAGCUCUUUAUCCUAUAGGUAUCUUUCAACCCACUAGGUCAUCAUAAUAUCUGGAUUGGGUAUUUACCUAUAUCUAGGUUUCUACCCUUUGCCCCGCUAAUGUGUUCCCCUUUUCUAAUUUAAUAAUGAUUAAUUAAAUAAGGAGUUACACUUUACCCUUUCAAGUAAUCAUGUAAAUAUUAUGAAUUUUCUUUUAUUAACAUAUUACCUCUUUAAGGGUUAUUUUCAUGCAAACAUGUAAUUUCAUGAAGUUAUCACAUUUUACAUCACACACUACUUUCAUACAUAACACAUCUAUAAAGUUGAUACAAUACUAACAUGCUUGUCCUAAAACAUUGUAAACAAAUAUUUUCAAACAAGAAUUAACAUGCUCACAUAAUGUUCAUACACUUCACUCAAUCUAGCAUGACCCUAGAUCACAAAUCUCACACCAAAAAAGGAAGAGUCUAGCAUGCAACACCCUAGAUAUCUUUACACAUAAAACAUUUCAACAAUAAUGGCAUAACAAUCAAUCAUCAAAGGGGGCACAUGCAUCCUAGGUAACUAGGUUCAUCCCAAACCAUCUAAGAUAUGGGAUACUCCUAACAAUGUACUUUUAAAACCACAAGUUGACUCACCUUUGCCAAAAAUGUGACCAACUCACACUUCAAAUAUUGUAUUGGUUGAAGUAUCAACCUUGCCCCUAUUACAUUUCAAAUAACAAGGUUAUUGGAGUUCUACAAUGCCAAAGAUGAUAAAUUUAUAAGCCAAACACAUAAAUCAACUAGCAAGUAAAAUUCCCAGUUUUGGGACCCAAAAUAGCCACCUGUUUAGAGCUGUUUUAGCAAACUUAGAACCUGUAUAACUUUCGUUUUUAUUUCAUAUUACUGAAGUUCAGACUUUUAGCUUUUCAGAAUGUACUUUUUAAGGUCCAAACGAUUUUUCUACAAUUUUAUAUGAUUUUUACAAAUCUGCCUAACAAUGCAGCUAAAUUCUGACCAGCCGGUGAAAAAGGCGAUUUUCACCUAAAUUAGAAACAACAACAGGUUCUGGAAAAAUUCAUGGAUAAAAUAGACUCAAAAUGAAAACUUUGAGAGUUUACAGAUCAUUAAUUCGGUUCCUGGUUAUUUUUAUAUAAUUUUCCAACACAGGGACAGAUUGGUAAUUCUUGCUGAAUUUUCCAGCUUUGGGUUUCAAGGGCUUUUUGACCACUUAACACAUUAAGCCAUCACUAAAAACACCUAUAAGUGUAAAAAUUAACCUCUUAACAGAAAUAGCAUGAUUUAAUCAUAGAAACAUAUCCACUUGAUUCAUGGUGGAAAUUAACAUAAGUUUUAGAAAUCAACAAGAAGAAUUGUGACUCCAAAACUUUGAUCAAAACAUAAACUUGAGCAAUAAACUUAAUGAAGGUGUUCAUAAACAAUUUUGACAGCAAUAAACCAUCAAAAUUACACCCAAUAGAACUAGAAUUAAACAUAUGAACAUUCAAAGAUUGUAAGGAAGAAGAUGAUAUGAUCAAUAACACCAAAAAGAAAGGAAUUGACUAUGCUAUUAACCAAUUCUCAUCAAUUGAUGAAUGAAUUUCAAAAGAAAAGAAUCAAAGACAUACCAAGGACGAUUCCUAGCCCCAAAUUGACUCACAAAACUCGCAGCCCUUUUUCCCCUCUCCUUCACGUUCGGUUUUCUUCUUUUUCUUCCCUAGCAAUCGUCGAUGACUACUUCACGCCUAAAUAUGAUUGAUCGUUUUUUUUUCUCCUUGUUACUUGACACACAACAUAAACAAUUGGGGAAAUUUAUUUUGAUCGAUUGAUAUGGCCCCAAGACAUCAAAACUGCUAAUCCGCAUAAAGCCCCUUAAUCACGUCCAAUGUAAUACAUAGGGUUUUUAAUGCCAUUUUUCCAAUUAAGUCCCUAAACUUCCAUGAUUAAAUUUCAAACACCUCUAACCCUAACAACAUAACAUUUUUAGUUUCCAUUUAUGACACAUUGGCCCUCAACACCAUUUACCCUAAUAAAACUAAUUACAUUUUAACCUAAUAACUUCAUGAAUCAGUUUAAUUAAAUUAAACAUUUUUUUUAUUUUAAUUAAUUCUUUUUCGUAUUAAUUAACAUCAUUUUUUUAAUAAUAACAAUUACCACCUAUUUUUGAUUUGUAAUCUAGAAUCGAAAUAAUCUUUAAGAAACUAAAUAUUUGACUAAUGGAAAAACUAACAUCUUUAACAAAUGAAGUUUCGGGUCGUUACAAUUCUCCCCACCUUAAGAAGAUUUCGUCCCGGAAUCAGGAUUCGGAAUGAACAACUGUGGGUAACGAGCCCUCAUGUGAUCCUCAAGCUCGCAUGUCAUAUCUCCACCAUGCUUAUUCUUCCAAAGAAUCUUCACAUGUUUCACCCUCUUCAUGCGCAACUACUUGGUUUCACGCUCCAGUAUAGUUGGUGGUUCCUCAACCAACCGCUUUGAUUCAUCCCCUCUUAACUCAUCUAAUGGCAGUACACUGUUUUCCUCCGCCAAACACUUCCUCAGGUAGCAAACAUGGAAUACAUCGUGAAUUCCCGCCAGCUCGGGUGGUAACUCUAACCUGUAGGCUUGGUCUCCGACUCGUUCCAACACCGCAAGUGGUCCGAUGUAGUGUGGUCCCAACUUACCUCGCUUGCCGAACCGAAUAAUACCCUUCCAAGGUGAGACUUUUAAGAUUACUUUCUCGCCCACCUCGAAAGUUUUCGGUCGAUGCUUCCUGUCUGAGUACUUCUUCUGACGUUCACGAGCCACACGCAACCUCUCACGUGCUUUCUUCACUUUAUCCUCUGUAAUCUGCACUAUUUCGGAGCUUUCAUAUUGUUUUUCUCCUGGCUCCAACCAACAAGUAGGUGUACGACACCUUCUCCCAUAAAGCAUUUCAUACGGAGCCAUGUCAAUGCUAGCAUGGUUGGUGUUGUUGUAAGCAAACUCCACCAAAGGUAAGUAAGUAUCCCAACACCCUCCAUACUCAAUAACACAUAUACGUAACAUAUCCUUGAGAGUCUGGAUAGUCCUCUCACUUUGCCCAUCAGUCUGAGGGUGAUAAGCUGUAUUCAAAAGCACCCUCGUACCCAAUUCCUCCUGUAGUUUCUGCCAAAACCUUGAAACAAAACGACUGUCCCGGUCAGAGAUUAUGGAUAAUGGUACAACAUGUCUUGUAAUAAUCUCCUUGAUGUACAUCUUCGCCAACUCCUUCAAAUUUUCAUUCUCUUUGGUUGCCAAAAAGUGCGUGCUUUUCGUCAAUCUGUCCACAAUCAGCCAUAUCAUGUCAUUGCCUCGAGAGGUUUUUAGGCAGUUUUGUAACAAAAUCCAUCGUAAUUUUAUCCCAUCUCCACUUUGGAAUCUCUGGUUGUUUUAAUGCACCAUAAGGCUUCUGGUGGUCAGCUUUAACUAAAGCACAUGUCACACACACUCAACUACAUAUUUUGCUACCUCCCUCUUCAUUCCUGGCCACCAAUAAUUGACUUUGGGGUCUCGAUACAUCUUUCUUGCUCCUGGAUGUAUCGAAUACUUUGAUUUAUGAGUGUCUCGAAGAAAGAAUUCACACACCCCACCCACCUUGGGGACCCAAAGUCGCCCCCAAAAGGUCUUAAGUCCCUGAUGAUCAUCCACCAACAAGGUCUACUGCUUAACCAUAACGUCUUCCUUCAAAUGCUCUUCCUUUAAACCCUCUUCUUGAGCAAAAUGAAUUUUCUCAUAAAAGUCUGGAACUAUUACCACCCCCAUAGAUUUAAGGUGAUAAGCUCCUCUUGGUUCUUUGCGACUUAGGGCAUCAACUACCACAUUAGCUUUUCCCGGGUGGGAACUAAUCUCACAGUUAUAGUCAGCCAACAACUCUAUCCAGCGUCGUUGUCUCAUAUUUAACUCCUUCUGAUUCUGGAUGUGUUGUAAACUCUUAUGAUCAGUAUGUAGCAUACACUUCAUCCUAUACAAAUAAUGACGUCGUAUCUUAAGUGCAAAUACAACUGCUGCUAACUCCAAGUCAUGUACCGAGUAGUUCAUUUCAGCACUUUUCAACCGGGAAGCAUAAGCAAUCACCUUACCUCUCUGCAUCAUAGUGCGCCCGGGUGUAGCCAAAUCAACCUCAAUUCGAAUAGCCUCAUCCAUGGCAGCCGCCAAAGUGUUGCGCUGCCUCACAAUAGCUCGAUACCCUAGUGGUAACCCCUCGGCAUAAUGUUCCACCUGUUUUGCAUCAGUGGGGCAGUAACUUUUACUGAACUAUAGUUUCUCAGAGAACACUGAAUUAUAUUUUGCUGUCGACAUUGUGCCUUUCUCCAAUGCAAGGAACUCCCUCUCAGCUUUCCUUAUCUGCCCCGGUGGACAGAAACGCUCCUGAAGCUUUUGGCUGAAAACCUCCCAGGUCAUGGCUUGAAUUGUAGCCUCAGGUACAACAGAUUCCAAUGCCUCCCACCAUUGUAGUGCAUCACCAUCCAAUUUCAAUGCUGCAUAACUGACAUUCUAUAAUUCCGUGAAGUCUCCUGAACGGAAAAUCUGCCUCAUCUUACGCAACCAUUGCACACAUAAUGCUGGGUCUUCUCCUUCUUUGAAGACAGGGGGUUUGCGGGCAGUGAAUUCUUUGUAGGGACUACCCCGCCCCUCAACACGUUCUCUAGUGGCUCCCUGCUCCGUCCGCGAGUGAUUGAGCGACUCUCAGCUAUCACCUCUCAUGGCUCCUCAUUCUCCUCUUCUUCGUCCUCGGGUGGUAAAAUCCCUACAUCUCGCAUAGCCUGCUACAUCCGCUCCAUGUCUCGAUCGCGUCUCUGCAACUCUGCAUCUCGUGCCUCAAGCUGCUGCUGAAGGUCAACAAUGAUAGCAGCACUCGCAGUGCUGCGCUCGCUACGGGUUGGCUGGGCCCGUGGCUGACGACCAGUCGGUGGGGUCUGAAAAGCAAACGGUGGCGUCUCGGGUGUACGGUUGUCUUGCCCCACACCAGAUCCUCCAACAUUGACAUUCCCUUCGACGUGCGACAUGUUCCUAAAUAAUAAAGAACUUUAAGCACACAAAACAAUCACACGAAAGGAAAAUUCAGGAAGUUGCAUAUAAUAAUCCUAUAACUCUCAACACACACCCUUCCCCCCUUAAGAAUCCUAGAUCACCUAAUUGAGCCAGUCUACACUAUGAGUCUGAACACCGACCUCUGUAUUCAGUUCACUCACAGCAUGGCUCUGAUACCAACUUGUAACAUCGUGAUUUUUCACCCAAAAUUUUCUUUUUUUUAAACAUUUAUUUAACAGAAUACGUUGCGGAAGACUUAUUAAGUUUAUUUCAAAACAUCACCAAUGUUACUUUCAUGUCAAAACAAACCCAUCUAAAUUUAAAGUUAACAAAAACGUAAUGAUGAAAACCUAACAUGUUUAAAUGGUAUCAUAACUAAAGAUACUAAGGCCCCGUUUGAUAGUUGCUGACUGAGAAAGUGCUGACUAGGAAAGGUCUGUCUGGAUAAGAAAUCCUGACUGAGUAAGAAAUGUUGUUGUUUGAUUGUACAUAUGACUGAAUGUGCUNAUAAAAUUAGUUUUAAUAAAGGAAAUUGUGUUUAUGGUUAAAACCGCAACAUGUCAAACCUAACAGACCAAAACUGACAAGUUUCGGAAGUCUUAGGCCCCGUUUGGUAGUUGCUGAUUGAGAAAGUGCUGACUGGGAAAGGUCUGUCUGGGUAAAAAAUCCUGACUGAAUAAGAAAUGUUGUUGUUUGAUUGUAUAUCUGACUGAAUGUGCUUAGUGAUAAAAAAUAACUAUUUUACCCUUCUGUUAUAUUUAAAGCAAUUUAUCUAUCAUUGAAAUUAACAUCAUCCUAAAUAAUAAUAGAACAAUUAAGGUCAACAUUGCCAACAUAGUUUAUACACAAAAAAAAAGAAAAAAAUUCAGAUUUCAUAGCUUAUAAACAAAAAAAAUCACAACAUUGCCAACAUAGCUUAUAAAAAAAAUCACAACAUUGCCAACAUAGCUUAUACACAAUAUAUAUAUAUAUAUAUAUAUAUAUUCAUAUUUCGUUCCAUACGAACAAUAUCAUCACAACUUUUAGAUUUCAUUCCUUUUGUUUCUAUUUUUUGGUGUUUGGGAAGUUCACUGAGGAUAUGGGGUAUAGAGGUAACAUUGUUCCAGGAGGCUAUGGUGCAAUAUUUAUGUCAAAUUCAGGAACAAAGAAAGAGUGUUUCCAACAUAAGUAUUUUGUGUUUUAUAUAUAAAGAAGACUUUUAUGUUAAGGAUAAGGGUCUCUUUACCCUUGCAUAUUGUAGUAUUCUUUCACUCAUAUACAUAUAAUCUAGAAAUGUUAUCAUAUCUUGUGUAUCCUUUUUAAUAUAAAAUUGUUCAUGUAUAUAAACUUAUGGUAUAAUUCUGUUCCAAAAGAAUAUCUAAAAACUACCCUCCCAGAACUUGCUUGAGAUAUGAUGAUAACUUGGGAAAGGGAGACAAAAGAUAUGGUGAUAAUAGGAAAAAGGUUAGAGAUGGGAUUAAGCACAUUGAAGAACAUGAUCAUGGUUUUGAAAUUAAUGAAGUUCACUGAUUUCAAAGCCAAUUUCUGAUUUAUGAUUUCACAAAUCAUAUACAAAGGAGAAGGAAAAACAAUAUCUUGAUUUCACAGACAAAAAAACGAGGAGGAGAAAGACAAUUUUCUGAUUUCACAGAAAAAAAAACGAGGACCUACCCUGUUUGAUGUCUUUCUCGUGGGAGCUCGAAUCAGAGGGAAGAGUGAGGCCGGUAGUCGAUGGCGGCGAUAGAGGGAGGGAAGGCGACGAUAGAGGGAGUUGUUGAUGGCCGCCAAUUUCGUUGUUGUUUCUCUUUUAGGUCACGAUGGGAAGAAAGAAAAGAGAGGGUAUGAAAGUCAUUUUUUCAGUCAGCAGCAUCUCAAUGUCUUACCGAGAAAUCAUAUGGUCCAGACAUUGCUGAUUGAGAAAGCGAUUAUCAAACACAUUUCCUUCUUACCGAGUCAGCCCAAAUCGCUGACUCAGUCCCAGUCAGACUACAACAAACAGGCCCUAACUAAGACUACCCAAAAGCUCCCAUCCUCAACAAGGCAUCAUGUCAAUCUACCUAUUCCAACACACAAGGAAAGACAACAAGCAAAGAGCAAGUGUUAGCAUAAGCUAAGUGAGUCAAUAUAGUACAAUGUCAAGAGAACACCCAUAUCAUAGAAAGAAUCACACAAAACAUCCACACACCGUCAAAGACUCACUAACAAGACACACAACAUCACACCUCAUAACAAACAUAGGUUUAGCUCAGUUUAUUUUAAUUCUUCUUUUAGAGCUUCUCUUAUUAGUUACUCUCCUC